Molecule: ribosomal RNA, 782 nt
Filed under: Staphylococcus aureus
Lineage: Bacteria; Bacillati; Bacillota; Bacilli; Caryophanales; Staphylococcaceae
Description: bacterial SSU rRNA
Rfam family: Bacterial small subunit ribosomal RNA
Source: RNAcentral
GUCGAGCGAACAGGACGAGAAGCUUGCUCUCUCUGAUGUUAGCGGCGGCACGGGUGAGUAACACGUGGGUAACCUACCUAUAAGACUGGGAUAACUUCGGGAAACCGGAGCUAAUACCGGAUAAUAUUUUGAACCGCAUGGUUCAAAAGUGAAAGACGGUCUUGCUGUCACUUAUAGAUGGAUCCGCGCUGCAUUAGCUAGUUGGUAAGGUAACGGCUUACCAAGGCAACGAUGCAUAGCCGACCUGAGAGGGUGAUCGGCCACACUGGAACUGAGACACGGUCCAGACUCCUACGGGAGGCAGCAGUAGGGAAUCUUCCGCAAUGGGCGAAAGCCUGACGGAGCAACGCCGCGUGAGUGAUGAAGGUCUUCGGAUCGUAAAACUCUGUUAUUAGGGAAGAACAUAUGUGUAAGUAACUGUGCACAUCUUGACGGUACCUAAUCAGAAAGCCACGGCUAACUACGUGCCAGCAGCCGCGGUAAUACGUAGGUGGCAAGCGUUAUCCGGAAUUAUUGGGCGUAAAGCGCGCGUAGGCGGUUUUUUAAGUCUGAUGUGAAAGCCCACGGCUCAACCGUGGAGGGUCAUUGGAAACUGGAAAACUUGAGUGCAGAAGAGGAAAGUGGAAUUCCAUGUGUAGCGGUGAAAUGCGCAGAGAUAUGGAGGAACACCAGUGGCGAAGCGACUUUCUGGUCUGUAACUGACGCUGAUGUGCGAAAGCGUGGGGAUCAAACAGGAUUAGAUACCCUGGUAGUCCACGCCGUAAACGAUGAGUGCUAAGUGU